AGAGUUUGAUCCUGGCUCAGAGCGAACGCUGGCGGCAGGCUUAACACAUGCAAGUCGAGCGGGCGUAGCAAUACGUCAGCGGCAGACGGGUGAGUAACGCGUGGGAACGUACCUUUUGGUUCGGAACAACACAGGGAAACUUGUGCUAAUACCGGAUAAGCCCUUACGGGGAAAGAUUUAUCGCCGAAAGAUCGGCCCGCGUCUGAUUAGCUAGUUGGUGAGGUAACGGCUCACCAAGGCGACGAUCAGUAGCUGGUCUGAGAGGAUGAUCAGCCACAUUGGGACUGAGACACGGCCCAAACUCCUACGGGAGGCAGCAGUGGGGAAUAUUGGACAAUGGGCGCAAGCCUGAUCCAGCCAUGCCGCGUGAGUGAUGAAGGCCCUAGGGUUG
Molecule: ribosomal RNA, 391 nt
Filed under: uncultured bacterium
Lineage: Bacteria
Description: bacterial SSU rRNA
Rfam family: Bacterial small subunit ribosomal RNA
Source: RNAcentral